Molecule: long non-coding RNA, 298 nt
Organism: Sceloporus undulatus (fence lizard)
Lineage: Eukaryota; Metazoa; Chordata; Lepidosauria; Squamata; Phrynosomatidae
Exons: 3
Source: RefSeq, a predicted model, not a curated record
GGCAAUCCCAUUCUCACAGAAUGCUGGUUGACUGCUGUGAGGGAAAACAGAAAAGGGGAUUGGAUGGGCCAUAUGGGAUGGAAAAUGGCAUGGCUGGCUGGCAAGAACCCUGAACAGGAGUAGUCCACACUGCAGUGUUUUGUUGCAGACCUGAUAUAGGGUCUUAUCCAGUUCCUUCAUAUCUGUCCUAGUCUUCUUCUGAUGUCUUGACUGCAGCUUUCAUUCUGAAUAAUGACUGAACCAAGAAUGGGGACUCAUCUGAUCUUGGAAGCUAAGAAGGGUCACUUGGAUGGGAGAC